CCUGACUCAGAGGGUUCAACAAAGAGAGAAGAGCCAGGAAAUAAAACAUUGAGGUGUUUUAUUCUACUAACUGGACCAACAUUGAAUUCUCAUAUUGGCAUGAUGGAUCACCUUAAAAAACAAAUACCAGCUCUGCAAGUGGUACGGACAGAGGAGGAGUGUGAUUUCAUUAUGGUCUUCUGCCCUGUCAUUAGAGGACAUGCAAUUGAUAUUCAAGCAGCGCAGGAGAAACUUAAUAAAUUUCAGACAACAAACCUGCUGUUCUAGUGGUGCUCCAUCACACGUUUGAUCCAGAGUGUGUUGUACCAGACAGCAGCAGAGCUGUACACAGAGAGAAUA
Ictalurus furcatus (blue catfish) is the source of this 339-nucleotide long non-coding RNA. RefSeq lists it as uncharacterized. NCBI's taxonomy places the organism in Eukaryota, Metazoa, Chordata, Actinopteri, Siluriformes, Ictaluridae. The transcript has 4 exons. The record is from RefSeq and is a predicted model, not a curated record.